UGAGGAAUAUUGCGCAAUGGGGGCAACCCUGACGCAGUGACGCCGCGUGAGUGAUGAAGGCUUUCGAGUCGUAAAGCUCUGUUAGGUGGAAAGAAACAUUCCGGCGCUAAUAUCGCCGGGACUUGACGGUACCACCAGAGGAAGCACCGGCUAACUCCGUGCCAGCAGCCGCGGUAAUACGGAGGGUGCAAGCGUUGUUCGGAUUUACUGGGCGUAAAGGGCGUGUAGGCGGUUUGCUAAGUCAGAUGUGAAAUCCCUUGGCUUAACCAAGGAACGGCAUUUGAAACUAGCUAACUGGAGUACAGGAGAGGAAAGUGGAAUUCCCAGUGUAGAGGUGAAAUUCAUAGAUAUUGGGAGGAACACCGGUAGCGAAGGCGGCUUUCUGGCCUGAUACUGACGCUGAGACGCGAAAGCGUGGGUAGCAAACAGG
This 430-nucleotide ribosomal RNA is filed under the name uncultured Desulfobacteraceae bacterium. Its description in RNAcentral is "bacterial SSU rRNA". It matches the Rfam family "Bacterial small subunit ribosomal RNA", at positions 355 to 776 of the family's 1533-position model. Lineage: Bacteria; Pseudomonadati; Thermodesulfobacteriota; Desulfobacteria; Desulfobacterales; Desulfobacteraceae. The record is from RNAcentral.